CCUACGGGUGGCAGCAGUGAGGAAUAUUGGUCAAUGGACGAGAGUCUGAACCAGCCAAGUAGCGUGAAGGAUGACUGCCCUAUGGGUUGUAAACCUCUUUUAUAAAGGAAUAAAGUGAGGCACGUGUGCCUUUUUGUAUGUAUUCUAUGAAUAAGGAUCGGCUAACUCCGUGCCAGCAGCCGCGGUAAUACGGAGGAUUCGAGCGUUAUCCGGAUUUAUUGGGGUUAAAGGGUGCGCAGAGGGGUUGUUAAGUCAGUUGUUAAAGUUGGGGGCUCAACCGUAACAUUGCCAUUGAAACUGGCAGCCUUGAGUACAGUUGAGGUAGGCGGAAUUCGUGGUGUAGCGGUGAAAUGCUUAGAUAUCACGCAGAACUCCGAUUGCGAAGGCAGCCUAC
This 394-nucleotide ribosomal RNA is filed under the name uncultured bacterium. Its description in RNAcentral is "partial 16S ribosomal RNA". It matches the Rfam family "Bacterial small subunit ribosomal RNA", at positions 338 to 729 of the family's 1533-position model. The record is from RNAcentral.